CAUGUGUCACUUUAAGAGGCAAAGUUUGAAAGGACUGGGGGAAAGUGACAACAGCGACAUUUAUGAAACCCCUUGAAUCCCUCUCCACACGAGAGCUGCCAGAACAACCAUUAACCUUGAGUUUUUGUUUUUCCAGUGUUAUUUUAAAUAAUGGCAACUCACUGGAUCCAUGGUUUUGGUUUUGCUCUCCUUGCUGUUCUGCCUGAGACCCGAGUUUGAGAAUAUUGCUUCCAAAACAGCCAUGAUUUUUGGAUUUCCCUGGUGGUCCAGUGGUUAAGAAUCUGCCUGCCCAUGCAGGGGACACAGGUUUGAUCCCUGGUUGGGAAAGAUUCCACAGGCUUCAGAGCAACUAAGCUGGUGAGCCACAGCUACUGAAGCCUGCCUGGCUUAGAGCCUGCUUGCUGUCAACAAAAGCAUCCGCAUUGAGAAGCCCCUGCGCCACAACAGAGAGCCUGGCUCCCUGCAACCAGAGAAAGCCCUCAGGUAGCAAGGAAGACCAAGCACAGACAAAAAUAAAAAUAAAAUUU
Molecule: long non-coding RNA, 527 nt
Organism: Cervus elaphus (red deer)
Lineage: Eukaryota; Metazoa; Chordata; Mammalia; Artiodactyla; Cervidae
Exons: 2
Source: RefSeq, a predicted model, not a curated record